Molecule: ribosomal RNA, 283 nt
Filed under: uncultured bacterium
Lineage: Bacteria
Description: partial 16S ribosomal RNA
Rfam family: Bacterial small subunit ribosomal RNA
Source: RNAcentral
GACGAACCGUCCAAACGUUAUUUCGGAAUCACUGGGCUUAAAGGGUGCGUAGGCGGCGCGGAAAGUUGGGUGAUGAAAUCCCUCGGCUUAACCGAGGAACUGCCCUCCAAACUGCUUGGCUUGAGUCCGGGAGAGGUGGAGUGGAAUUCCCAAGUGUAGCGGUGGAAAUGACGUAGAUAUUGGGAGGAACACCGAAGUGGCGAAGGCGGCUCACUGGACCGGAACUGACGCUGAGGCGCGAAAGCGAUGGGGAGCAAAGCGGGGAUUAAGAAACCCGUUUGUA